RNAcentral lists this ribosomal RNA (332 nucleotides) under uncultured Pseudomonadota bacterium. RNAcentral's name for it is "bacterial SSU rRNA". It matches the Rfam family "Bacterial small subunit ribosomal RNA", at positions 28 to 351 of the family's 1533-position model. The record is from RNAcentral. Lineage: Bacteria; Pseudomonadati; Pseudomonadota.
GACAAACGCUGGCGGCGUGCCUAACACAUGCAAGUCGAACGAGAAAGUCGGCUUCGGCCGAUGAGUACAGUGGCGCACGGGUGAGUAACACGUGGGUAACCUACCCUUCGGAGGGGGAUAACACAUCGAAAGGUGUGCUAAUACCGCGUAACACGACGUUGUUGAUGAUGACGUCGUCAAAGGUGGCGCAAGCUGCCGCCGAGGGAUGGGCCCGCGGACCAUUAGCUUGUUGGUAGGGUAACGGCCUACCAAGGCGACGAUGGUUAGCUGGUCUGAGAGGAUGUCCAGCCACACUGGAACUGGAACACGGUCCAGACUCCUACGGGAGGCUG